RNAcentral lists this long non-coding RNA (676 nucleotides) under Citrus sinensis (sweet orange). RNAcentral describes it as "long non-coding RNA (CSIN_LNC002752)". The record is from RNAcentral. Lineage: Eukaryota; Viridiplantae; Streptophyta; Magnoliopsida; Sapindales; Rutaceae.
GCCUAUUGGCCAAACUAUUAUAUUAAUUGUACUUUUACACCGAAGAUACCAGGUAAGGAAGCUGAUGUAGUUGAGAAAAUGAUGAUUGCAUACCAGAUCUGAGCUUCAAAAUAGACGCCUCCUUCUUUAUCAGAUUUGGUUCUUCUAACUAGUAUCAUGAUGGAUUUCACAGAGAUCAAUUGUUAUUGAAUGAAUCUUCUAGAUCUGUGCCUGAAGAAAAACAAAAACAAAAACAAAAUUAUGGGAACUGAUAUUCAGGAAAACCCUAACCCUAACGAUUUUUUUAAAAAAAGAGCAUGACAUCCCCAAUGUUUUUGGAGGCAUAAACUUAUGAGCUUUUUUUAACAUAAUUUUACUUGUUUUAUCCAAAUGAAAAAUUAAAGCAGAUGAGUGACAGAAUUAAAGAGAAAGAGAUGAAGAAAGUUGAUAAUUAACAAAACCUAAUUUCGUGUACUUAAAUGUCACUGUGCUGCAGCAACUCAAACCAAAAUCAGUAGACUGACGACAUUUGAUAUAUAUAUAUAGAGGAUGAAGGGAGUCUUGUCACCGGGAGAUGGCGCUUACGGCGUUAUUUAUGCACAACUUAGUUAAUGCAAUUAAGAGGUAGUAGGUGCUAUCUCUCCGGCGACAAGAAUCCCUGUAGCCCCCCUCUCUCUCCUGCUCCCUUGCCGCAAGC